CGACAGCGUACCCCUACACCCUUGCACGUGUCCACAUCCUGUCUCUUACAGACUAUCCAAAGCAGCUGCUUCUCUACACUUAGAGAGGAUGAAGAUUCCUUUCACUAGUUGGGAUAAUAGCACCCCUGCUGAUGGCUGCAGAGAUGACCUCAAGUCCCCAAACUGAUCUGGACCUCAGUGGCCAAAGGAACCUGAGAAAUGGGUUUGGAGGUCUUUGAAAGCACCUGGAAACAAUUAAGUGGAGCCUGAUAAAAAUGAGCCCUUUGGAAGAGAAGUCUCGAACACUUGUAUGCUGUUCCACUGUCCUUCAGAAAUCAUAGCUGUCAGAGGUUCUACGACACUUUUUUGUUCUGAGACACUGAUAAUAAGAGAAAUCUUCCAAGA
Hyaena hyaena (striped hyena) is the source of this 384-nucleotide long non-coding RNA. RefSeq lists it as uncharacterized. NCBI's taxonomy places the organism in Eukaryota, Metazoa, Chordata, Mammalia, Carnivora, Hyaenidae. The record is from RefSeq and is a predicted model, not a curated record. The transcript has 3 exons.